This 215-nucleotide long non-coding RNA is filed under the name Jatropha curcas. RNAcentral describes it as "long non-coding RNA (JCUR_LNC003464)". The record is from RNAcentral. Lineage: Eukaryota; Viridiplantae; Streptophyta; Magnoliopsida; Malpighiales; Euphorbiaceae.
UUUUAGGUUCCAGUAUGUUCUCAACUCCAUUAUAUUUUACUGCAAGGACAAAACCACCUGGCUUGGAUAAAGUGACUUGAACAAUUCCAUUGUCGAUCACAACCUAAAAAGAGAUAUCCAAUUUUUAUUUGUAGCCUGGUAUGAAAAAUAAUAGGUUUUUAAGGAAAGAAAAGAAAAUUAAUAAUUCAUAGUUACAGAUUCAGGCUCUUCACGCA